Hemicordylus capensis (graceful crag lizard) is the source of this 753-nucleotide long non-coding RNA. RefSeq lists it as uncharacterized. Lineage: Eukaryota; Metazoa; Chordata; Lepidosauria; Squamata; Cordylidae. The transcript is spliced from 3 exons. The record is from RefSeq and is a predicted model, not a curated record.
UUGAGGGUACUGCUAGGAGGAGCCCCCUAGGAAUCCAAUGGGCUGGAGCAUCUUGAGUAGCAGCUGUUCCAGCCAGGAGACCAAAAGAGGAAGUUGAAGGCAGGGAAGGAGAGGCUGGAGGAAGGUCCCUGUGCUAGAGGAUUCCCUGACUGCAGAUCACGGUGGACCACUCUGUGUGAAUGCAGAAAAUCAAGCCCACGUAGCAGCUGAAAUGUCAUAUCCUAAGGGUAAGCAAUGAAGAGCUUUGAUGAGUAAGUGGGAAGCAAAGAAUCCUCUGUCCACUUUUCCCAUCAUCUAUAUUAACAGGAAUGAAAUGUCCAACCCAGUGUCUUGAACACAAGUUUUCUACGGCAUUCACAAUUACAGAACCCCAUACUAUACCAACUGGACUAGAAUUAACAUCAAAGACCACUGGAAGUGCCUAACAUAACUUCAAGAGUUCUGACCAGCUGGCUUGUAAGACCAAGACACUGUGAAUUUCCUGAGCAUGAACUUCGGAAUCAAAGUAUUUUUGUAAGAGUUCAACAAUUCAGUUGCUAAAUCCAGGAGUUACCACAAGCAGAAGCAUGUUCUUUGAUAACAUUUGACAUGGAAGACUAAGAAACAUUCAGUCUCGAUAAGAACAACCAUCACAAAUAUUUUUAACGGCCAUGCUCAUUGCCUUUAUCUUUUAUAUGUUCAAAUUUAAAAAAUGCACCUGACCUCAUCAUGUGGAUUAUGCUAUUUUUUAAAAAAAUCUACAUUUUAUGCCCA